UACGUAGGGCGCAAGCGUUAUCCGGAAUUAUUGGGCGUAAAGAGCUCGUAGGCGGUUUGUUGUGUCUGCCGUGAAAGUCCGGGGUUCAACUCCGGAUCUGCGGUGGGUACGGGCAGGCUAGAGUGAUGUAGGGGAGACUGGAAUUCCUGGUGUAGCGGUGAAAUGCGCAGAUAUCAGGAGGAACACCGAUGGCGAAGGCAGGUCUCUGGGCAUUAAUUGACGCUGAGGAGCGAAAGUAUGGGGAGCGAACAGG
RNAcentral lists this unclassified non-coding RNA (253 nucleotides) under uncultured Micrococcaceae bacterium. Its description in RNAcentral is "contains 16S-23S intergenic spacer region". It matches the Rfam family "Bacterial small subunit ribosomal RNA", at positions 524 to 776 of the family's 1533-position model. The record is from RNAcentral. Lineage: Bacteria; Bacillati; Actinomycetota; Actinomycetes; Micrococcales; Micrococcaceae.